UAUAUGUAUUAAAUCGAUGUACAAGUAAAAGUGGAUCAUCACAUCUCUAUAUCUAAUCAGUUAAUAAUUUUUAUUUUCAAGAUGUGCUAAUUUAUAUAUCUAAAUUAGAGUUUCAUGUUACAUUUCCUUUAAAAUCUUGAGCGUGUUUUAUAAUUGUUUUAAAUUUUUGUUUCAGGCUCAAGAGGUAUCAUCACAAGACUACGACGUUUCUGAAAUACAGUGUUCGUUUUCAUCGGAUUCUCUGCGGGCGGGCAAAGCGUUACUGAGCGUUAAAGACGUAAUAUCUGCUAGACUGAAAAAACCAGAGGGUUUUAAAGGUCAUCCAUUGUUCGCAGACGACCGAACUGUAGAUCCCUUGAUCGACCCAUUUUGUCAGAUCCGACCGGACUUAUCAGAUGUAUCCCUGUUGACUUAUAACCUAUUGGUCACAGACUUCACAAGGUGCGGUGUCCUCAAGAGAAACGGUUUCGUUCACGUCCGGGUGUGGUUCCCACAGUUUCCCGGCGUGGUCAUGAUGUCCGAUCAAGAAUUAAUCAUUAUGUGCAAACCACCAGAACCGACUGUGAUCGAAAACAAGGCCGCCGGUUUCGCCGGAAGUUU
This is a long non-coding RNA of Daktulosphaira vitifoliae (grape phylloxera), 600 nucleotides long. RefSeq lists it as uncharacterized. The transcript has 3 exons. Lineage: Eukaryota; Metazoa; Arthropoda; Insecta; Hemiptera; Phylloxeridae. The record is from RefSeq and is a predicted model, not a curated record.